This 527-nucleotide ribosomal RNA is filed under the name uncultured bacterium. RNAcentral describes it as "partial 16S ribosomal RNA". It matches the Rfam family "Bacterial small subunit ribosomal RNA", at positions 355 to 874 of the family's 1533-position model. The record is from RNAcentral.
UGGGGAAUUUUGGACAAUGGGGGAAACCCUGAUCCAGCCAUCCCGCGUGUGCGAUGAAGGCCUUCGGGUUGUAAAGCACUUUUGGCAGGAAAGAAACGUCGCGGGUUAAUACCCCGCGGAACUGACGGUACCUGCAGAAUAAGCACCGGCUAACUACGUGCCAGCAGCCGCGGUAAUACGUAGGGUGCAAGCGUUAAUCGGAAUUACUGGGCGUAAAGCGUGCGCAGGCGGUUCGGAAAGAAAGAUGUGAAAUCCCAGAGCUUAACUUUGGAACUGCAUUUUUUAACUACCGGGCUAGAGUGUGUCAGAGGGAGGUGGAAUUCCGCGUGUAGCAGUGAAAUGCGUAGAUAUGCGGAGGAACACCGAUGGCGAAGGCAGCCUCCUGGGAUAACACUGACGCUCAUGCACGAAAGCGUGGGGAGCAAACAGGAUUAGAUACCCUGGUAGUCCACGCCCUAAACGAUGUCAACUAGCUGUUGGGGUCUUCGGACCUUGGUAGCGCAGCUAACGCGUGAAGUUGACCGCCU